GUGCUCGCUUCGGCAGCACAUAUACUGAAAUUGGAACGAUACAGAGGAAAUUAGCAUGGCCCCUGUGCAAGGAUGACAUGCAGAUUUGUGAAGUGUUCCAUAAAAAC
This 107-nucleotide small nuclear RNA is filed under the name Prolemur simus (greater bamboo lemur). Lineage: Eukaryota; Metazoa; Chordata; Mammalia; Primates; Lemuridae. The record is from RNAcentral.